Molecule: ribosomal RNA, 119 nt
Filed under: bacterium
Lineage: Bacteria
Source: RNAcentral
GUUGGUGACACGAGCGGCUAGGCCCCACCUCUUCCCAUUCCGAACAGAGAAGUGAAACUAGCCAGCGCCGAUGAUACUUGGACCCAAUCCGGUCCUGGGAAAGUAGGCCGUUGCCAGCA